CAAGCAGUGGGAGCACAGAGCAAUCUGUGUGACUGCGUACCUUUUGUAUAAUGGGUCAGCGACUUAUAUUCUGUAGCAAGGUUAACCGAAUAGGGGAGCCGAAGGGAAACCGAGUCUUAACUGGGCGUUAAGUUGCAGGGUAUAGACCCGAAACCCGGUGAUCUAGCCAUGGGCAGGUUGAAGGUUGGGUAACACUAACUGGAGGACCGAACCGACUAAUGUUGAAAAAUUAGCGGAUGACUUGUGGCUGGGGGUGAAAGGCCAAUCAAACCGGGAGAUAGCUGGUUCUCCCCGAAAGCUAUUUAGGUAGCGCCUCGUGAAUUCAUCUCCGGGGGUAGAGCACUGUUUCGGCAAGGGGGUCAUCCCGACUUACCAACCCGAUGCAAACUGCGAAUACCGGAGAAUGUUAUCACGGGAGACACACGGCGGGUGCUAACGUCCGUCGUGAAGAGGGAAACAACCCAGACCGCCAGCUAAGGUCCCAAAGUCAUGGUUAAGUGGGAAACGAUGUGGGAAGGCCCAGACAGCCAGGAUGUUGGCUUAGAAGCAGCCAUCAUUUAAAGAAAGCGUAAUAGCUCACUGGUCGAGUCGGCCUGCGCGGAAGAUGUAACGGGGCUAAACCAUGCACCGAAGCUGCGGCAGCGACGCUUAUGCGUUGUUGGGUA
RNAcentral lists this ribosomal RNA (665 nucleotides) under Escherichia coli. RNAcentral's name for it is "partial 23S ribosomal RNA". It matches the Rfam family "Bacterial large subunit ribosomal RNA", at positions 567 to 1230 of the family's 2925-position model. The record is from RNAcentral. Lineage: Bacteria; Pseudomonadati; Pseudomonadota; Gammaproteobacteria; Enterobacterales; Enterobacteriaceae.